RNAcentral lists this long non-coding RNA (931 nucleotides) under Vulpes vulpes (red fox). RNAcentral describes it as "lncRNA (ENSVVUG00000000335.1)". Lineage: Eukaryota; Metazoa; Chordata; Mammalia; Carnivora; Canidae. The record is from RNAcentral.
UCACUGGAGAAAAUAUACUGCUCCAUACUUAUGUUCCUGGUUGUUACAUUCAGCGAACAUUUAUUGAGCAUUUAUUAUUUUCCAGGCAGCAUGGCUGGGAAUACAGAUACUGAAAUAUACAGUCAUUGGCCUCAAGAAACUCACAUUCUAGUGGAGAGAAAGACAAGUAAAAAGAUGUUUAUGAAUCUGUGGUAAGUGCUUAAGUGGAGCCACACCUAACAUAGUUGGAGGAAGAACUGGGGGUCAGAUAAAGGGUUUGGAUGAAGAAGAAGAUGUGUUAGACAAAUCUUGAAAGACCAGAGAGCCAUAGUCUGCUGAGGAAGACGAAGUAGGUAUUCCAGGAGUUUGGGCUCAGAUAUUUCUCUACUUUGUGACUAUUUGGAACUUGGGUAGGGGCUGAAGAAGAAUCACAAGAAGUUUUUAAUGGCUUCAUGGAGGAGGAGUCUCAUCCUUGAGGGGGCUGUUCCAGUUGUGAAAUGGAAAUGGUGGAGAGCCAUAACAGCAGAAGGGGUUAUGAGAUCAGAGAUAAUGGAUGUUUCAAUGGCAAUCCACUUGUGUGGAUCAGACCCCUCCACAUUAACCAUCAGAGCCACAGUCCCCAGUGCCUUGACACUACAUAUAACUUGGAAAAGGAUGAUGAUUGUAGGUUGAGUAGACUCAUUCAAGCUGAUUCUUCUACUUUGAAAUCUGACUAACUAGGUGAUCUGAACAAGUUAACAGCUCUGAGGUUGAGUUUCCCCAACUGGAGAAUGGGAAUGAAAUUCCUUUCCUUUUAGACCUGGUAAGAAGGUUAAAUGUGUUAAUGUGUAGGGGAUGGUAGAAGCUCAGUUCCUGCAUGGAGGCUCCCCACCUCCCUGUUUAUGGAAGGCCAUCUGGUUGCUAUCAAAAUAUGCAGUCUUCUGAGAAAUGUAUUUGUUUGUCCAAAACAAAC